This is an RNA transcript of Vigna radiata var. radiata (mung bean), 1632 nucleotides long. RefSeq lists it as uncharacterized. The transcript has 6 exons. The record is from RefSeq and is a predicted model, not a curated record. Lineage: Eukaryota; Viridiplantae; Streptophyta; Magnoliopsida; Fabales; Fabaceae.
UCAGCGUGCUUUUAACCUUUGUGGUUCGGGAUUCAUUUUACUUUCAACGAAAAUUUUCCCUCCUUUUUCCUGCAUUUUAAUUUCACUUUGUUUACUUUCGUGAAACUCAUUGCGCCCAAAUUUCAAUUCGUGCUCCCCCAAAUUUCAAUUCGCCAUUCCAUCAACAAGAGCAGUUCAUCCACUCUAUCAUGCGCCAUGUUGCUGAAACCCUAAACAUCGAUUUAGAGGAGCUCUAUGUUUACAUUGGAGCUCUAUUGUUUCUUUUGUUUCCAAUCCUCGCACGCCUCCGAAAAACGCUUCUAUGUUUACGUUCGGGAUGGAAGAAGUACGGUGGACGAACUCAAGUAGCCAAGCUAAAGUGUUAGGAACAAUAACAUCAAUUGCAGGAGCAUUUGUUGUGAUACUAUACAAGGGUCCACUCAUCUUUAAGACCCAUUCGACUAACUUUUCUAACCAAAUCCUUCAAUUUUUAACACAGCUAAAUUGGAUCUUAGGAGGGAUAUUAUGCAUUGAAGAUUCACUUUUUACUUUAAUGUAGUACAUAUAUCAGGCUUCGGUGGCAAAGAAAUACCCUGCUAUAACAGUGAUUGUAUUCUUCCAACUCUUAUCUUCAACCAUGCAGUGUGGAGUAUUUGCCUUAAUUGUUGUGAGGGAUCCAACUAAAUGGAAGCUCAACUUGGAUAUAGGGCUGAUUGGCGUCUCAUUCAGGUGGAAAAUGAAAACCAACCACAUGAAACUGAAACACUGAAAUACAUUUAGAUUUGUGUUUUUGCUUUAACUUUUAUAAAUGUUUAAGGUUGGUAUGAAAAAUAUUUGUUAUAGAAAGUUUAAGGUAUGCUUAAUAUUGUGGAUAGGCAAUAGUUGCAACAAUGAUAUGUUACCUACUAUGCACAUGGUUAUAUUUUAAUAGAUACUUAUUUUUUAGAAUUUUUUUCAUUUAGAUUUAUUUUUUUCAUUUUGCUUCAUUAAUUAGUAAAUACUUUAAUCUCUAAAAACACCUUUACACUUUUGAUUGGUAAAUUUUACAUGACUACUAUUUUGGUGUGUAUGAAUUUUAUUUUGUUAACUAAUAUUCAACAGACAGAAAUGAAACACCGAUUUGGUGAAUCUUGUAUAGGUAUAUUUUUAUUAUUAUUAUUAUUAAGAUAUUAACAAAUUUUAAUUAUUAUUAUCUCUUGUACUUUUUGUGAGAUAUGUACGUCAAGUUUAUCACUUCAUCCAUGGAGAACGAAACCAAGUUCAACUAUUUUCCUCUGUUUCGUUCUAUGUUCAAACUUGUGGCAAUCAUUUUCACCGCUUUCAAGGGUGCAAUCUUUCUUGGAGAUUAUUUCAGUCUUGGAAGAUCUUUUCUUGGCUGAUAUCUUAACUUCCAUGGCAAUGUAUUUUUCUUGGUGGACAUCUCAACAAUAUCGUGAUAAUCAAAUCACUGAAGUUAGGGGGGAAGAUUGAUGUUUAUAUGUUAUUAGUAUAUGUUUAUAAGUUAUGUUAUAGUGAUGUACAUGUUUAAAGGUACAUAUAGGUUAUAUAUGUUAUGAUUGUAUAUAUUGUCUUGUAUAAUGUCAUGUCAUGACACAUAUUGGAUGACUUAAUGAUUAUAUUUUGAAAUAUUAUUGUACCAACAGUUUUCAUUCA